UAUGGGUAAACAUGGCGCUGUGUUAUGUGUACUGUAUACAUACAAAAACAUUAGACUUGGAUCCACAAUAACACGGAUUUAAUUAGAGCUUUGAUAACAAUGCCGUUGUAAAAGAAAGGAAAAGUGAUGUUAUUAACAAAUUCAAUAAUUCUUAAUACGUCAGAGGAGAGGAAUUUCGAGGAAUUUGGCUGAAUUUGUAGAAAUUAUGAUCAGUAAAUAGGAAACAAGGAGUGCAUAGCCAUAGGCAUAGGAUGAUCUGAUGAUAGGAGGAUUAUUUAAACCGGUUUCAUUACCUGUAAAAAUGGGCAAACGUGUUUUGUUAUGAAAUGACAACACUGUUCAUUUUACAUUUAAUGGCUGGCAAUAUCAACAGUUGUUGAAGUUACGAGAAAUCAGUAAUAAACGAUAAAGGAUUAAUAAUUUAUGACAUAGCACUUGUCCAUGUCGUCUAUUAUUAAAGCUUAUCAUAAGUGUAGCACUAGCAGGUACGAAUAAUUUCUUUACAUGAUAGCUAAUAAGUUCUGAGUUUCACAGCCCAUUGAAUAGAAAUGUCAUAUUUUAGGUAUGUAUAAUAAAAGCCAACACUUGUUAGUUUUCUCUUUUUUCUUUACAUGUGUGUGUUUUUAUUUAUCUCGUGGCCACGAGUUACUAAGUCACAGUGACGCUAAGUGUAAAAUUAGCGACAAGUCAAUAAGUUGUAUAAAUUGCACUUUUACAGGCUGGUGAAGUAGGGGUAUCCUUGUACUACAGCACAUGUCUAGUUAAUUGGGGAAAGUAACACAAAUGGUGUAAUCUGAUUGGUUAUUUAUCACAUGGCCACGACUAAGCUAUCUCGUGGCCACGACAUAGUAUAUGUGGCCACGACUUAGUAACUCGUGGCCACGACAUAGUAUCUCGUGGCCACGACUUAGCUAUCUCGUUGCCACGACUUAGUAACUCGUGACCACGACAUUGUAUCUCGUGGCCAUGAGAUAAAUAAAAACACACACGUCACAUUUGUGCCACCGUAAAAAUCAUAUAAUAUCUAGAUAUAUUUUUAUCAAAGUAAUUUUAUUUCAAGCACAUCAAUAAAGCAAUUCGUCUUUCUGUCAUUGCAGGUUCUUAUUGGACUUCGAUACCUCGCAAAAGGCCAUUUCAUAUCAGAAGUUGGAGACCUCCACAGGGUGUCUAAAGCCAGAGCUGCCAUUUACAUUCACCAAUUCAUACGAAGUGUAAACCUUCGAUUAAAGAAUAUUAGUGUUUAUUUAGUGAAAGAAGCCAAAAUGUGGUGACCCAUAAUGAGUUACCAUCAUAUCAUAAAAAUGAUGCUCAAAUUAAGAUUUAUCAAUUUUGUAAGUAUUUAAAAAAAUAUUUCAUGUAUAUAAAGGGAGGUGAUAAAAAGAUUAUUUUCUACUAAGUCUGAGUCAAAUUUUUCAAUAAGAAAUGAAUGCAUAUAUUUUGAUUAUUACAUAUUGUAUGGACAAAUAUUUGAAGUACAUACUUUACAUAUUCAUCAAUGUUUGAAAAUUGUUUUAUAAGCAUAAUUAUAUACAUAUAUAUAUAUAUAGUUUUACUUACACGUGGUACUGAACACUUAACACUUGUAUGAAUUAUCGAGUUCCAGCAAACCAAACUCUGGAACAUAAUUUACCAUUUGUAAUGAAAAUAAUAAUUUUUUUGUGAAAAACAUAAGUCUAUAUCAUACAUGUAACAAACAGUGACCUUUUCUUGGCCCACCAUAUGAAAAACGUGUUAUUCAUGUGUAUCCAUAUGAAAAACAUGUGUUUGCAUCAUAUGUAAAACAUAUGGAGCACUUUUCUGGAAGAAACCAUAUGUUUUUACCAUAUGUAAAACAUGUGUGUCACAUACAUUUAACAUGCUGUGCAUAAUUUACCGGUGUACUUACAUGGGUUUUGUCUGAUAUUAUCAGUGCCCUUUCUGAACUUCGAAAAAAAAAUGCAUUAUGCCAGCUCUUUUUGUUUUAAGAAUAGUUGGCAUUACCCUUAAUGGACUUCUAAUGAUAUUAGUAAAUGCUUGUGCUAACAUCAUACUAAAUGAUUAAGGACAAAAAUAUUUUUUCUUUCUGAUUUUAUCUAGCUUUUGUGAAUUUUCUAAAGAAAACUAUAUGUCAUCUGACAAUAACUGCUUUAUGAUAACCUAUCAUUUUUCAGACACAUUUAGAACAAAGUAAUAAUGGGUUGUUAUUGGGGGAUAGUGGGUACCCUCUAAGGAGGUACCUCUUGACCCCAAAGGUGAAUCCGACAACACCACAAGAGGAAGCCUUCAAUAAACACCAUAGCAGAGGCAGAAUGGUGGUAGAAAAAGCCUUUGGUAUACUGAAGUGACGUUUCAGAUACCUACACAAAAGUGGAGGUGUUCUACCGUUUUCACCAGAAAAGAGCAGCCAAGUUGUGGUAGCAUGUAUGAGGCUACAUAACUUUUGUAAAACUAGAGGAGUACAAGAGCCUGUGGAGAU
Molecule: long non-coding RNA, 2455 nt
Organism: Ruditapes philippinarum (Manila clam)
Lineage: Eukaryota; Metazoa; Mollusca; Bivalvia; Venerida; Veneridae
Exons: 3
Source: RefSeq, a predicted model, not a curated record